ACACAAGACUUCAGGUAGAAGAAGGUGCUAGAACAGCCUUCUAGGAAUGCAGUAGUGAGCUUGGAGAGGGUGUGUCCUAGAAUCCCUAGAGCGGGUCUCCAUCCUUCAGUGAGCCUGUGUUCUCGCCUGUGAGUUCUCAGAAUCGAUCUUUGCCCUGCCCCUUCAUGGAAGCACAAGGAAUUUUGCUCCACUAUUCACCGUGAGAGCCUGAUGGAGCAUCUGGGGACGACCUCAAAGGAGCCUCUCUUCCAUGAACACGGCCCGACUUCUUGCUCUCGGAGCUUUGUCUGCUGGGCCUUCCUCCAGCUCUCAGCCCCUUUCAGUCCUCCCACUCCACCACAGGUUGCAGGACAGGGCCGAGCCUAGGCCUUGGUGCAGAGUCCUCUUCAGUUUCUUGUGUUGCUCUGGUUUGGGGACAGUUCUCCGAGCCAUUGAAGAAGAGUUGUUGGUCUUUCUGAUGUUUCAGGCUUGUAUUUGUUACCAGGAUGCAGUGGCUGCUUCUAAGCUCUUCACCUGUGCAACCUGUCAGCCAGCAGGCUUUGAGGUUUGCCCAGCACCGCUGAACCCACCAAUGGACAACUCAGGACCUGGCGUGUGAGGCCUCCGGACUCAGAGCCCUACCCAGCCCGGUCCCUGUUAACAGCCUCACCUCUGUGAAGCAUUGGCUCUCUGUGUCUCAGCUGCCUCCUCUCCGAAGGGAAUCCACCAGAGUCCUGCUGCCUUAGGCUUCUGCGAAGUGCGAGUGUCCUAGCGCCGGGUUCCAUUCUGAACACGCAAACCACGUCACCUGCACCACGGGUAAGUGCUCAAAAGAGCAUCAGCCGUAACCGGGUGAAAAAGUCCCUGUGUGUCGUGAGGUCUCAUGCUGUGAGUGACAUCACCGAAUAAAGGACCUUCUUUAAAAGUCUGCAAAAACCCAACCUACAAAAUCAGAUGUGUAACAGCAUGAGGAAGGAAGUCCAAUCGAGCCUUCAGACGAAGGUGUGCGGAAAUGCCAGGCACUGCAGCCCACCCCGCCUGUGCGCUUAGUGCGGACAGUGGCUUUGCUGUAGGACCCAUACUUCGGAUUUAGGAGUUUUCAACUCAAACCACACAGAUAACUUUGGACCAUUGUUUCUGUUCUCUUGGUGUGAUCCCAUAACUGGCAUUAUUUAGAAAAACAAAAUGGCUUUUCAGCGUGUUCCAGUAUCCCACCCUCCAGGAAGCACACCAUCCCUGAAGACUUCAGCGCAGAGCCUCUGAUCCUUCAGGCUCA
This is a long non-coding RNA of Nannospalax galili (Upper Galilee mountains blind mole rat), 1255 nucleotides long. RefSeq lists it as uncharacterized. The transcript is spliced from 4 exons. The record is from RefSeq and is a predicted model, not a curated record. Lineage: Eukaryota; Metazoa; Chordata; Mammalia; Rodentia; Spalacidae.